Molecule: ribosomal RNA, 431 nt
Filed under: uncultured Antarctic cyanobacterium
Lineage: Bacteria; Bacillati; Cyanobacteriota
Description: bacterial SSU rRNA
Rfam family: Bacterial small subunit ribosomal RNA
Source: RNAcentral
UUUUCCGCAAUGGGCGAAAGCCUGACGGAGCAAGACCGCGUGGGGGAAGAAGGCUCUUGGGUUGUAAACCCCUUUUCUCUGGGAAGAAAGUUGUGAAAGCAGCCUGACGGUACCAGAGGAAUCAGCAUCGGCUAACUCCGUGCCAGCAGCCGCGGUAAGACGGAGGAUGCAAGCGUUAUCCGGAAUGAUUGGGCGUAAAGCGUCCGCAGGUGGCAGUUCAAGUCUGCUGUCAAAGACCGGGGCUCAACCUCGGAAAGGCAGUGGAAACUGAACAGCUAGAGUAUGGUAGGGGCAAAGGGAAUUCCUGGUGUAGCGGUGAAAUGCGUAGAGAUCAGGAAGAACAUCGGUGGCGAAGGCGCUUUGCUGGACCAUAACUGACACUCAGGGACGAAAGCUAGGGGAGCGAAUGGGAUUAGAUACCCCAGUAGUCC